CCUACGGGGGGCAGCAGUGGGGAGUAUUGCACAAUGGGGGAAACCCUGAUGCAGCAACGCCGCGUGAGCGAUGAAGGCCUUCGGGUCGUAAAGCUCUGUCCUAAGGGAAGAAUACUGACGGUACCUUAGGAGGAAGCCCAGGCUAACUACGUGCCAGCAGCCGCGGUAAUACGUAGGGGGCUAGCGUUAUCCGGAAUUACUGGGCGUACAGGGUGCGUACGCGGCUCUUCAAGGCAGAGGUGAAAGGCUACGGCUCAACCGUAGUAAGCCUUUGAAACUGUAGGGCUUGAGUGCAGGAGAGGAGAGUGGAUUUCCCAGUGUAGGGGUGAAAUGCGUGGAUAUUGGGAGGAACACCAGUUGGGAAGGCGGCUCUCUGGACUGUAACUGUCGCUGAGGCACGAAAGCGUGGGGAACUAACAGGAUUAGAUACCCUUGUAGUC
Molecule: ribosomal RNA, 440 nt
Filed under: uncultured bacterium
Lineage: Bacteria
Description: bacterial SSU rRNA
Rfam family: Bacterial small subunit ribosomal RNA
Source: RNAcentral